UAGGGAAUCUUCGGCAAUGGACGAAAGUCUGACCGAGCAACGCCGCGUGAGUGAUGAAGGCCUUCGGAUCGUAAAACUCUGUUGUUAGAGAAGAACAAGGACGUUAGUAACUGAACGUCCCCUGACGGUAUCUAACCAGAAAGCCACGGCUAACUACGUGCCAGCAGCCGCGGUAAUACGUAGGUGGCAAGCGUUGUCCGGAUUUAUUGGGCGUAAAGCGAGCGCAGGCGGUUUCUUAAGUCUGAUGUGAAAGCCCCCGGCUCAACCGGGGAGGGUCAUUGGAAACUGGGGGACUUGAGUGCAGAAGAGGAGAGUGGAAUUCCAUGUGUAGCGGUGAAAUGCGUAGAUAUAUGGAGGAACACCAGUGGCGAAGGCGGCUCUCUGGUAUGUAACUGACGCUGAGGCUCGAAAGCGUGGGGAGCAAACAGG
RNAcentral lists this ribosomal RNA (429 nucleotides) under Gemmatimonadota bacterium. RNAcentral describes it as "Gemmatimonadetes bacterium partial 16S ribosomal RNA". It matches the Rfam family "Bacterial small subunit ribosomal RNA", at positions 355 to 776 of the family's 1533-position model. Lineage: Bacteria; Pseudomonadati; Gemmatimonadota. The record is from RNAcentral.